RNAcentral lists this ribosomal RNA (253 nucleotides) under uncultured bacterium. RNAcentral's name for it is "partial 16S ribosomal RNA". It matches the Rfam family "Bacterial small subunit ribosomal RNA", at positions 524 to 776 of the family's 1533-position model. The record is from RNAcentral.
UACGUAGGCAGCAAGCGUUGUUCGGAAUUACUGGGCGUAAAGGGUGCGUAGGCGGUUGGCUAAGUUUGGUGUGAAAUCUCCCGGCUUAACUGGGAGGGUGCGCCGAAAACUGGCUGGCUAGAGUGUGGGAGAGGGAAGUGGAAUUCCUGGCGUAGCGGUGAAAUGCGUAGAUAUCAGGAGGAACACCUGAGGUGUAGAUGGCUUCCGGGACCAUUACUGACGCUGAGGCACGAAAGCGUGGGGAGCAAACAGG